CCUACGGGUGGCAGCAGUGGGGAAUAUUGCACAAUGGGGGGAACCCUGAUGCAGCAACGCCGCGUGGGUGAAGAAGUACUUCGGUAUGUAAAGCUCUGUCAGCAGGGAAGAAAAUGACGGUACCUGACUAAGAAGCCCCGGCUAACUACGUGCCAGCAGCCGCGGUAAUACGUAGUGGGCACGCGUUAUCCGGAUUUACUGGGUGUAAAGGGAGCGUAGACGGGAAGGCAAGUCUGGAGUGAAAGCCCGUUGCUCAACCACGGGACUGCUUUGGAAACUGUGUUGCUGGAGUGCAGGAGGGGUAAGCGGAAUUCCUAGUGUAGCGGUGAAAUGCGUAGAUAUUAGGAGGAACACCAGUGGCGAAGGCGGCUUACUGGACUGUAACUGACGUUGAGGCUCGAAGGCGUGGGGAGCAAACAGGAUUAGAUACCCGUGUAGUC
Molecule: ribosomal RNA, 440 nt
Filed under: uncultured bacterium
Lineage: Bacteria
Description: partial 16S ribosomal RNA
Rfam family: Bacterial small subunit ribosomal RNA
Source: RNAcentral